UCUGGUUGAUCCUGCCUGAACUGAUGUGCUUAUCUCAAAGAUUAAGCCAUGCGUGUCUAAGUAUAAACGUUCUAAACGUGAAACCGCGAAUGGCUCAUUAAAACAGCUAUAAUUUACUUGAUCUUGACACAAUCCUACUUGGAUAACUGUGGUAAUUCUAGAGCUAAUACAUGCAUUAAAGCUCUGACCUCACGGGAAGAGUGCAUUUAUUAGAACAAAACCAAGCGGCUUCGGCUGUUUUCGGUUGACUCAUAGUAACUGAGCUGAUCGCGUGGUCUUGCACCGGCGACGUGUCUUUCAAGUAUCUGCCGUAUCAACUUUCGAUGGUAGUGUAUCUGACUACCAUGGUGAUCACGCGUAACGGAGAAUAAGGGUUCGACUCCGGAGAGUUCGCCUGAGAAAUCGCGAACACAUCUAAGGAAGGCAGCAGGCGCGAAAAUUACCCACUCUCAGCACGAGGAGGUAGUGACGAAAAAUAACGAGACCGUUCUCUUUCGAGGCCGGUCAUCGGAAUGGGUACAAUUUAAACCCUUUAACGAGUAUCUAUGAGAGGGCAAGUCUGGUGCCAGCAGCCGCGGUAAUUCCAGCUCUCAAAGUGCAUAGAAUUAUUGCUGCGGUUAAAAAGCUCGUAGUUGGAUCUGUGCCAUAGGACGGGGUCUUUCCUAACGGAUUUGUACUUCGCUCCUAGGCUUUUCAGUCGGUUUUCCCGUAAUUGCAUUCAUUUGUCGUUGCGGGUGGCUGACGAGUUUACUUGAGAAAAUCAGAGUGCUCAAUACAGGCGUCUAGCUUGAAUGAUUGUGCAUGGAAUAAUAGAAAAGGAUUUCGGUCCUCUUUUAUUGGUUUUGUGGACUGAGAUAAUGGUUAACAGGGACAAACGGGGGCAUUCGUAUCGCUGCGUGAGAGGUGAAAUUCUUGGACCGUAGCGAGACGCCCUACUGCGAAAGCAUUUGCCAAGAAUGUCUUCAUUAAUCAAGAACGAAAGUCAGAGGUUCGAAGGCGAUCAGAUACCGCCCUAGUUCUGACCGUAAACGAUGCCAACUAGCGAUCUGCCGGUGGAUUUUUAGCCCUGGUAGGUAGCUUCCCGGAAACGAAAGUCUUCCGGUUCCGGGGGAAGUAUGGUUGCAAAGCUGAAACUUAAAGGAAUUGACGGAAGCGCACCACCAGGAGUGGAGCCUGCGGCUGGAUCAGUA
This 1190-nucleotide ribosomal RNA is filed under the name metagenome. Its description in RNAcentral is "SSU rRNA". It matches the Rfam family "Eukaryotic small subunit ribosomal RNA", at positions 1 to 1199 of the family's 1831-position model. The record is from RNAcentral.